UGGAAUUGGAGGCGGUGGAGCAACGUGGGCCCCACAAGCCUGCUAGGCGCGGCCAGGGGGGUCUGCGCCUGGUGGACUUGUGGGCUCCACGCUCCACUUCUUCGGUUGAUUCUUGCGCCAGUAUUUUUUAUAUAUUCCACAAAAAAUCCUCGUAAAUUUCCAGGUCAUUCCGAGAACUUCUAUUUCUGCCAAAAACAACACCAUGGCAAUUCUGCUGAAAACAACGUUAGUCCGGGUUAGUUUCAUUCAAAUCAUGCAAAUUAGAGUCCAAAACAAGGGCAAAAGAGUUUGGAAAAGUAGAUACGACGGAGACGUAUCAAUGCCGUUGCAUGUAUCUACAGGUACGGCUCAGUAAUCCUCUCUUCGCCUAGUUCCUUGCAUGUAAUCAUAUGAUCCUCAUGAUCUCCAAAAUUACCUGAGCACAUCAUCCAUGCAUCAUACAAAAAGUAGUAAAUUAGAUAUAAGAAUUCGUCCUAAUAAAAGAACUUGUGGUUUCAGUGCGUAUCUUUAUGAAAAAAUAAAAUCAAAUUGCAUAUGAAGCCAAUGGUGUUCCAUAAUGUAUUGUUAUACUAAAUUUGCUUCUGAUGGGUUAAGACUCCACGGGAUACAAAUAGAGAGAUAUAAUCGGAAAGACGAAAAGAAGCAUAAAGCUUUUUCAUUCAGGCAUUGAUACAAGAAGUUGUUGGGCAGCCUCCUUGAACCUGAAAUUGGAAAAAGAAAGGACGAACCUACAACUUGAGAAUAAAUUUAGAAGAAGCAAGAGCAUAGAUAUCCCCAGACGGCCACACCGCAAGAGAGAAUGCAUUGCAUCCCAAUUCAGUGUCCAGCAACGGUAAUAAGAUCAUAUCCCCGUUCUGAACUACUGGAAGAUCUAGCUGAAGAAAAACUGGAGGCACACUCGUGUGCUCUGCUCCUCACCUGACGUGUGCGCCCGUGCAGGCAGCUCCUGUUCGAGUUGUUGCCACAACACCUUGCUUUUGCCACGUUAGGGAGGGCGAAAGGGUCGGCUAGACGUGGGCCGGCGGCCGAUCGGCGAGCGGAGACCCGCGCAUGGUGGUUCGAGGUGGCCACGAUGGCGGGCGUGGGGCGGAGGCGACUGUUGGCGAGGGGUGGAGGCGAAAGCUGAGAGGAGGGGCGGCAGCCAUGUCGGAACAUAGGCGACUCGAGCGGCGGCGGAGGGUCAGGUGGUUUGGGGAAGUUGUUUUCUCAUCCAUAUGAGGGAGUUGUUUAUCUCGCCCACGAAGUGGCACGACGUGAUUAGUGGGAUCGAUGGGUUAGUGUCGUUCAACUUUUGUUUUCGUUUGUGCUUAAUAACGUUAAAGUAUUUUAGACCAUUAAAUUUGUGAUUAGACGGUUAAUAUGUUAAGUUAGAUCUGUCCUCUCGUGCUUUUAAUAGUAGAGAUGUUUUUUAUUUACGGAUUUCACCAGUUUUUAGAUUGUUUCUGGUUCUUCGGAUUAUUCUAUUUUUGUUGUUGUUUCUGUUUGGUUUUGCUUCUAUCUUUUCAGGUUUAUUGUCUUUUUUGUGUUCCGUUUUCUUUUUGGUAAUGAAUAUAGGCAUUUUUAAAAUUUAUUUAUUAAUUUUCUAAACACACACUAUUG
Molecule: long non-coding RNA, 1599 nt
Filed under: Hordeum vulgare
Lineage: Eukaryota; Viridiplantae; Streptophyta; Magnoliopsida; Poales; Poaceae
Description: long non-coding RNA (HVUL_LNC008827)
Source: RNAcentral